Molecule: transfer RNA, 122 nt
Filed under: Butyrivibrio sp.
Lineage: Bacteria; Bacillati; Bacillota; Clostridia; Lachnospirales; Lachnospiraceae
Description: tRNA-Phe
Rfam family: tRNA
About the family: Transfer RNA (tRNA) molecules are approximately 80 nucleotides in length. Their secondary structure includes four short double-helical elements and three loops (D, anti-codon, and T loops). Further hydrogen bonds mediate the characteristic L-shaped molecular structure. tRNAs have two regions of fundamental functional importance: the anti-codon, which is responsible for specific mRNA codon recognition, and the 3' end, to which the tRNAs corresponding amino acid is attached (by aminoacyl-tRNA synthetases). tRNAs cope with the degeneracy of the genetic code in two manners: having more than one tRNA (with a specific anti-codon) for a particular amino acid; and 'wobble' base-pairing, i.e. permitting non-standard base-pairing at the 3rd anti-codon position.
Source: RNAcentral
CGUAUGGUAGCUCAGUUGGGAGAGCAGCUGAAAAAAAGAAUUCAUUAAUCAUGUUCGUGAUUAUGACAGCGAAACAUUCAAGGCAGGUCAGCGGGUCAGUGGUUCGAAUCCAUUCCAUACGA